Molecule: long non-coding RNA, 353 nt
Filed under: Gossypium barbadense (sea-island cotton)
Lineage: Eukaryota; Viridiplantae; Streptophyta; Magnoliopsida; Malvales; Malvaceae
Description: long non-coding RNA (GBAR_LNC021648)
Source: RNAcentral
CGUCGGCAAAUUUGUGUUGAAAGGGAACGACGGGACCCUUUAAAUCCAAGGAGAAGGGAUGACAGCACAGGCCCAUUAGCAGCGCCCACACAAUCACUGGGCCCAACGCCUCAACCGACGACACCCACAUUAUAGCCUCUUUCAGAUUAUGCCAGGUGCGUAUCCUAACCCUUAUAUGUUUCCUUUUCCUAGUUCGUAUGCCAGGUUGGGAAUGCAUGGCGCGAUGCAUCUCCUUUCCCGAUGACUUCAACUUAACCGACGAUAUAUAGGCAGCCGUCACAGGAGGGAUCGCACGAGGCGCUGUCAGGGAGCUCUUCUCAUUACCAAUCCCCAUCGCCUUACGGGAAUCAAAC